GACAGAGGGUGCAAACGUUGUUCGGAAUUACUGGGCGUAAAGCGAGUGUAGGCGGUUUGGUAAGUCGGAUGUGAAAGCCCCGGGCUCAACCCGGGAAGUGCACUCGAUACUGCCAAGCUAGAGUAUCGGAGAGGUUGGUGGAAUUCUCGGUGUAGAGGUGAAAUUCGUAGAUAUCGAGAGGAACACCGGUGGCGAAGGCGGGUCUCUGGGCCGAUACUGACGCUGAGGAGCGAAAGCGUGGGGAGCGAACAGG
Molecule: ribosomal RNA, 253 nt
Filed under: uncultured bacterium
Lineage: Bacteria
Description: partial 16S ribosomal RNA
Rfam family: Bacterial small subunit ribosomal RNA
Source: RNAcentral